Canis lupus familiaris (dog) is the source of this 89-nucleotide non-coding RNA. The record is from Rfam. Lineage: Eukaryota; Metazoa; Chordata; Mammalia; Carnivora; Canidae.
CGGGGGAGGCCGGAUCCUGGGCUGUGUCCCGGCGCUCUGUACUCCCAGUGUGCGCUUUUGGAUUCACGCUCCCGGCGGUGCAGCCGCCU